GCCAGGCAUGGUGGUGCAUGCCUGUAAUUCCAGGGCUCAGGAGGCUGAGGCAGGAGGAUCACAAGUUCAAGGCCAGCCUCAGCAACUAAGCAAGGCCCUAAACAACUUAGUGAGACCCUGUUGCAA
RNAcentral lists this small RNA (126 nucleotides) under Marmota monax (woodchuck). Lineage: Eukaryota; Metazoa; Chordata; Mammalia; Rodentia; Sciuridae. The record is from RNAcentral.